UCACAUCGUGCGAUGGCAGUUCCACCU
This 27-nucleotide small RNA is filed under the name Bombyx mori (domestic silkworm). RNAcentral describes it as "ovarian small RNA-25061". Lineage: Eukaryota; Metazoa; Arthropoda; Insecta; Lepidoptera; Bombycidae. The record is from RNAcentral.